This 444-nucleotide ribosomal RNA is filed under the name uncultured bacterium. RNAcentral describes it as "partial 16S ribosomal RNA". It matches the Rfam family "Bacterial small subunit ribosomal RNA", at positions 354 to 796 of the family's 1533-position model. The record is from RNAcentral.
GUAGGGAAUAUUGGGCAAUGGUCGGAAGACUGACCCAGCCAUGCCGCGUGCAGGAAGACGGCCCUCUGGGUUGUAAACUGCUUUUAUCUGGGAAGAAAAAGGCCAUGCGUGGCAAAUUGCCGGUACCAGAUGAAUAAGCACCGGCUAACUCCGUGCCAGCAGCCGCGGUAAUACGGAGGGUGCGAGCGUUGUCCGGAUUUCUUGGGUUUAAAGGGUGCGUAGGCGGCUGAUUAAGUCAGCGGUGAAAGACUUCGGCUUAACCGGAGCAGUGCCGUUGAUACUGGUUGGCUUGAGUGUCGGAGGGGUACAUGGAAUUGAUGGUGUAGCGGUGAAAUGCAUAGAUACCAUCAGGAACACCGAUAGCGAAGGCAUUGUACUGGCCGACAACUGACGCUGAUGCACGAAAGUGUGGGGAUCGAACAGGAUUAGAUACCCGUGUAGUCC